CUGGUUGAUCCUGCCAGUAGUCAUAUGCUUGUCUCAAAGAUUAAGCCAUGCAUGUCUAAGUAUAAGCAAUAUAUACAGUGAAACUGCGAAUGGCUCAUUAAAUCAGUUAUCGUUUAUUUGAUAGUACUUUACUACUUGGAUAACCGUGGUAAUUCUAGAGCUAAUACAUGCUAAAAAUCCCGACCUCUGGAAGGGAUGUAUUUAUUAGAUAAAAAACCAAUGUCUUCGGACUCCUUGGUGAUUCAUGAUAACUUUACGAAUCGCAUGGCCUUGCGCCGGCGAUGGUUCAUUCAAAUUUCUGCCCUAUCAACUUUCGAUGGUAGGAUAGUGGCCUACCAUGGUUUCAACGGGUAACGGGGAAUUAGGGUUCUAUUCCUGAGAGGGAGCCUGAGAAACGGCUACCACAUCCAAGGAAGGCAGCAGGCGCGCAAAUUACCCAAUCCCGACGCGGGGAGGUAGUGACGAUAAAUACUGAUGCAAGGCGCUUUUGUUUCUUGUAGGCAGAGGGAAUACAUUUAAUCAAUCUUAACGACGAAGGGAUGGGUGGGCGGGAAGGCUUGUAAAUCCCCCCCGUGCCGCGCCAAUUUCGAACCUGGGUUUUUUUUUUCCGUGGGGAAAGAAAACCCCCGCCAAA
Molecule: ribosomal RNA, 634 nt
Filed under: uncultured Pulchromyces
Lineage: Eukaryota; Fungi; Ascomycota
Description: partial 18S ribosomal RNA
Rfam family: Eukaryotic small subunit ribosomal RNA
Source: RNAcentral